AAAGUCGUAACAAGGUCUCCGUUGGUGAACCAGCGGAGGGAUCAUUAAAGAGUUGCAAAACUCCCAACCAUUGUGAACUUACCAUUCUGUUGCUUCGGCUGGUGGCUUCCUUAGGGACCGCGCCUACCCCCCAAGGGGCGGGCAGCCUGCCGGAGGUGUUUAAAAUCUUUAUUUCAGUUGGCCUCUCUGAGUAACUUAUACAAUAAGUCAAAACUUUCAACAACGGAUCUCUUGGUUCUG
RNAcentral lists this unclassified non-coding RNA (240 nucleotides) under Ascomycota sp. RNAcentral describes it as "partial contains small subunit ribosomal RNA, internal transcribed spacer 1, and 5.8S ribosomal RNA". The stretch from base 1 to 47 matches the Rfam family "Eukaryotic small subunit ribosomal RNA", at positions 1785 to 1831 of the family's 1831-position model. Lineage: Eukaryota; Fungi; Ascomycota. The record is from RNAcentral.